CUUCUCCCUGGCCGCCGCCGCCUCUGCCUCCUCCCUCCUCAGCCUCUCCAUCUCCACCUGACGACAACACGAGGGUGACAUUACGCGAACGACUUUACCAUGACCGCUCUCCACCCGUGUGCCUUCCUGUUAGAGGCGUAGCAGGAGCCCAGCUUCCACCCACAGUCCACCUACACGUUUCCACGGCUUCAGGAUCAGGAGAAGCGCAAAUGACGAGCGCGAUGAAACAGCUAAUUAUUCAGAUUAUCUCCUCCGGGUAAUGAAAUUGUGCCUUAAUGUUCUGGCAAUUGUGUGUCUCCACUUGAUCCAGAAUGCGGCAGCGAGGCUUCUGACCGACACUAAACACCUAUUACUUCAGUCCUGGCUGUAUAUGUACCCGGGCUUCCAGCAGCUUCAGAAUUGACAGAUCCGCUGGUCUUCUCACCUUGCUCUGAUUGCUUCAGGGACCUCUGUAGUUGAAGCAGCUGAGUGGCCGACUUAUCCUGGCUGUCUAGUAGGUCCGUCACCUGCUGACUCAGAACAACCACCUGAGUCUUGGCUUCCUCCUGAGGGAAUAACACAAUAACAACUGCUCUGAUGAAAUAUAUACAGUGAAUUCCCUUCAUUUAUUGCAAUUUAUUUAUUGGGAAGAUCUGGCGGGAAAGCUUCAAGCUAACAAUCCCGAUCAGAACGCUCACUUUUACCCUCUCUCUUUGUGUGUCCCUGAGUUCCUGCUGGAAUUCCCGCAGGGCGGCGUGCACUAUGUCCACAUCCAGAUGUUCCUCUUCUCCACGAGACAAGGACAAUACACAUCCAUCCGUCUCAUUGUCUCCCCCUAACCAGAGAACACACUUUUUUUGAGCCAAACAUAUGCAAACAUUUGCCACAUGUUAUUAUGAACAGCCAUGACAAUACCUUUUACUUGCAGGCAGUUCUUCCGGGGAGAGGGGGACCGUUUGCGGGACGCAGGUGAACCGGAAAGCCUCGCUUGGUGGGUGCCGGCAGCGCGGCACAGAGCUGAAUACAGCCCUGCCAACUUGAGCUCCAGGUCCCUGCGUUGUGCAUCGCUGGCGCCCAGCCGCUCCUGCAGGCCCUGGACUUUGCUCUCUGCGAGGCCGACCUGCUCGGCGAGUUGCUUGAUCUGGAUGCCGGCGUCGUCUAGCGCUUCCUCCAGCUGUGCUGUUGCUCCGC
Gasterosteus aculeatus aculeatus (three-spined stickleback) is the source of this 1170-nucleotide long non-coding RNA. The record is from Ensembl. NCBI's taxonomy places the organism in Eukaryota, Metazoa, Chordata, Actinopteri, Perciformes, Gasterosteidae.